GAUGAAGAACGUAGCGAAAUGCGAUAAGUAAUGUGAAUUGCAGAAUUCAGUGAAUCAUCGAAUCUUUGAACGCACAUUGCGCCUGCCAGUAUUCUGGCGGGCAUGCCUGUUCGAGCGUCAUUUCAACCAUCAAGCCCUGCUUGCGUUGGGGUCCUGCGGCUGCCCGCAGGCCCUGAAAACCAGUGGCGGGCUCGCUAGUCACACCGAGCGCAGUAAUACAUCUCGCUUUGGGCGUGCGGCGGGUUCUUGCCGUUAAACACCCCCUUUUUACCAAGGUUGACCUCGGAUCAGGUAGGAAUACCCGCUGAACUUAAGCAUAUCAAUAAGCGGAGGA
This 334-nucleotide unclassified non-coding RNA is filed under the name soil metagenome. RNAcentral's name for it is "partial contains 5.8S ribosomal RNA, internal transcribed spacer 2, and large subunit ribosomal RNA". The stretch from base 1 to 120 matches the Rfam family "5.8S ribosomal RNA", at positions 35 to 154 of the family's 154-position model. The record is from RNAcentral.